AACGACUCUCGGCAACGGAUAUCUCGGCUCACGCAUCGAUGAAGAACGUAGCAAAAUGCGAUACUUGGUGUGAAUUGCAGAAUCCCGUGAACCAUCGAGUUUUUGAACGCAAGUUGCGCCCGAAGCCAUCCGGCCGAGGGCACGCCUGCCUGGGCGUCACGCA
RNAcentral lists this ribosomal RNA (163 nucleotides) under Hypochaeris radicata (hairy cat's-ear). RNAcentral's name for it is "5.8S ribosomal RNA". It matches the Rfam family "5.8S ribosomal RNA". Rfam says of the family: 5.8S ribosomal RNA (5.8S rRNA) is a component of the large subunit of the eukaryotic ribosome. It is transcribed by RNA polymerase I as part of the 45S precursor that also contains 18S and 28S rRNA. The record is from RNAcentral. Lineage: Eukaryota; Viridiplantae; Streptophyta; Magnoliopsida; Asterales; Asteraceae.